AAGGAACUUUAAAUACCAUCUAAUUCCAACCCCCUGCCAUGGGCAGGGACACCUUUCACUACACCAGGUUGCUCCAAGCCCCAUCCAACCUGGCCUUGGACACUUCCAGGAUGGGGCAGCCACAGCUUCUCUGGGC
Long non-coding RNA from Corapipo altera (White-ruffed manakin), 136 nucleotides. RefSeq lists it as uncharacterized. The transcript is spliced from 4 exons. Lineage: Eukaryota; Metazoa; Chordata; Aves; Passeriformes; Pipridae. The record is from RefSeq and is a predicted model, not a curated record.